This 325-nucleotide ribosomal RNA is filed under the name uncultured eukaryote. RNAcentral describes it as "partial 18S ribosomal RNA". It matches the Rfam family "Eukaryotic small subunit ribosomal RNA", at positions 1470 to 1796 of the family's 1831-position model. The record is from RNAcentral.
CCCUUAGAUGUUCUGGGCCGCACGCGCGCUACACUGAUGCGUUCAACGAGCCUAUCCUUGACCGACAGGUCCGGGUAAUCUUUGAAUCUGCAUCGUGACGGGGAUAGAUUAUUGCAAUUAUUAAUCUUCAACGAGGAAUGCCUAGUAGGCGCAAGUCAUCAGCUUGCGUCGAUUACGUCCCUGCCCUUUGUACACACCGCCCGUCGCUCCUACCGAUUGGGUGUGCUGGUGAAAUGUUCGGAUCGGCCGUUUGUCGCGGUUUCCGCGGCUCGUGGCUGAGAAGUUCAUUAAACCCUCCCACCUAGAGGAAGGAGAAGUCGUAACA